AGAGUUUGAUCAUGGCUCAGAACGAACGCUGGCGGCAGGCCUAACACAUGCAAGUCGAACGCUGUAGCAAUACAGAGUGGCAGACGGGUGAGUAACGCGUGGGAACCUACCCUAUGGUACGGAAUAACUUCGGGAAACCGAAGCUAAUACCGUAUACCUCCUCCGGGAGAAAGAUUUAUCGCCAUGGGAUGGGCCCGCGUUGGAUUAGCUAGUUGGUGAGGUAAUGGCUCACCAAGGCAACGAUCCAUAGCUGGUCUGAGAGGAUGAUCAGCCACACUGGGACUGAGACACGGCCCAGACUCCUACGGGAGGCAGCAGUGGGGAAUAUUGGACAAUGGGGGCAACCCUGAUCCAGCCAUGCCGCGUGAGUGAAGAAGGCCUUAGGGUUGUAAAGCUCUUUUGGCGGGGACGAUAAUGACGGUACCCGCAGAAUAAGCCCCGGCUAACUUCGUGCCAGCAGCCGCGGUAAUACGAAGGGGGCUAGCGUUGUUCGGAAUCACUGGGCGUAAAGCGCACGCAGGCGGAUUGAUAAGUCAGGGGUGAAAUCCCGGAGCUCAACUUCGGAAUUGCCUUUGAUACUGUCUGUCUUCGAGUUCGGGAGAGGUUGGCGGAAUUCCUAGUGUAGAGGUGAAAUUCGUAGAUAUUAGGAAGAACACCAGUGGCGAAGGCGGCCAACUGGCCCGAUACUGACGCUCAUGUGCGAAAGCGUGGGGAGCAAACAGGAUUAGAUACCCUAGUAGUCC
Molecule: ribosomal RNA, 743 nt
Filed under: uncultured bacterium
Lineage: Bacteria
Description: bacterial SSU rRNA
Rfam family: Bacterial small subunit ribosomal RNA
Source: RNAcentral